GCCGGGCCUAGGGUCGCUCCCGAAAGGCGAUAAGCCUGAAUCGCGCGGCCCGGCAUCUUAAUCAGGC
This 67-nucleotide small RNA is filed under the name Methylomagnum ishizawai. Its description in RNAcentral is "int-alpA RNA". It matches the Rfam family "int-alpA RNA". Rfam says of the family: Acidobacteria (1 example), Planctomycetes (1 example), Proteobacteria. Environment (Lake Washington) Lineage: Bacteria; Pseudomonadati; Pseudomonadota; Gammaproteobacteria; Methylococcales; Methylococcaceae. The record is from Rfam by way of RNAcentral.